ACUCCUACGGGAGGCAGCAGUGGGGAAUAUUGCACAAUGGGCGCAAGCCUGAUGCAGCCAUGCCGCGUGUAUGAAGAAGGCCUUCGGGUUGUAAAGCACUUUCAGCGAGGAGGAAAGGGUGUAAGUUAAUACCUUACAUCUGUGACGUUAGCUGCAGAAGAAGCACCGGCUAACUCCGUGCCAGCAGCCGCGGUAAUACGGAGGGUGCGAGCGUUAAUCGGAAUUACUGGGCGUAAAGCGCAUGCAGGUGGUUUGUUAAGUCAGAUGUGAAAGCCCGGGGCUUAACCUCGGAAUUGCAUUUGAAACUGGCAGGCUAGAGUACUGUAGAGGGGGGUAGAAUUUCAGGUGUAGCGGUGAAAUGCGUAGAGAUCUGAAGGAAUACCGGUGGCGAAGGCGGCCCCCUGGACAGAUACUGACACUCAGAUGCGAAAGCGUGGGAGCAAACAGGAUUAGAUACCCUGGUAGACUGUCAU
Molecule: ribosomal RNA, 473 nt
Filed under: uncultured bacterium
Lineage: Bacteria
Description: bacterial SSU rRNA
Rfam family: Bacterial small subunit ribosomal RNA
Source: RNAcentral